Molecule: ribosomal RNA, 450 nt
Filed under: uncultured bacterium
Lineage: Bacteria
Description: partial 16S ribosomal RNA
Rfam family: Bacterial small subunit ribosomal RNA
Source: RNAcentral
GUGGGGAAUUUUGGACAAUGGGCGCAAGCCUGAUCCAGCAAUGCCGCGUGCAGGAAGAAGGCCUUCGGGUUGUAAACUGCUUUUGUACGGAACGAAACGGUCCGGGUUAAUACCCUGGGCUAAUGACGGUACCGUAAGAAUAAGCACCGGCUAACUACGUGCCAGCAGCCGCGGUAAUACGUAGGGUGCAAGCGUUAAUCGGAAUUACUGGGCGUAAAGCGUGCGCAGGCGGUGUUGUAAGACAGGCGUGAAAUCCCCGGGCUCAACCUGGGAAUUGCGCUUGUGACUGCAGUGCUGGAGUACGGCAGAGGGGGAUGGAAUUCCGCGUGUAGCAGUGAAAUGCGUAGAUAUGCGGAGGAACACCGAUGGCGAAGGCAGUCCCCUGGGCCUGUACUGACGCUCAUGCACGAAAGCGUGGGGAGCAAACAGGAUUAGAAACCCCUGUAGUCC